Molecule: ribosomal RNA, 253 nt
Filed under: uncultured bacterium
Lineage: Bacteria
Description: partial 16S ribosomal RNA
Rfam family: Bacterial small subunit ribosomal RNA
Source: RNAcentral
UACGGGGGGGGCAAGCGUUGUUCGGAAUUACUGGGCGUAAAGGGCUCGUAGGCGGCCAAGUAAGUCAGACGUGAAAUCCCUCGGCUUAACCGGGGAACUGCAUCUGAUACUGGAUGGCUUGAGAUUGGGAGAGGGAUGCGGAAUUCCAGAUGUAGCGGUGAAAUGCGUAGAUAUCUGGAGGAACACCGGUGGCGAAGGCGGCAUCCUGGACAGAUACUGACACUGAGGAGCGAAAGCCAGGGGAGCAAACGGG